UGCCAGCCGCCGCGGUAACACGGGGGGCGCAAGCGUUAUUCGGAAUUAUUGGGCGUAAAGGGCGCGCAGGCGGUCUUGUCCGUCGGGUGUGAAAGCCCCGGGCUCAACCUGGGAAUUGCGUUUAAUACUGGUGAGCUAGAGUACGAGAGAGGAAAGUGGAAUUCCUAGUGUAGAGGUGAAAUUCGUAGAUAUUAGGAAGAGCACCAGUGGCGAAGGCGACUUUCUGGCUCGUAACUGACGCUGAGGCACGAAAGCGUGGGGAGCAAACAGGAUUAGAUA
RNAcentral lists this ribosomal RNA (279 nucleotides) under uncultured bacterium. Its description in RNAcentral is "partial 16S ribosomal RNA". It matches the Rfam family "Bacterial small subunit ribosomal RNA", at positions 506 to 784 of the family's 1533-position model. The record is from RNAcentral.